CACCCUACGGGGCGCAGCAGUGAGGAAUAUUGGUCAAUGGUCGGGAGACUGAACCAGCCAAGCCGCGUGAGGGAAGACGGCCCUGUGGGUUGUAAACCUCUUUUGUCGGAGAACAAAACCCGGGACGUGUCCCGGACUGCGUGUAUCCGAAGAAAAAGCAUCGGCUAACUCCGUGCCAGCAGCCGCGGUAAUACGGAGGAUGCGAGCGUUAUCCGGAUUUAUUGGGUUUAAAGGGUGCGUAGGCGGUCCGUUAAGUCAGCGGUAAAUUGCGGGGCUCAACCCCGUCGAGCCGUUGAAACUGGCAG
RNAcentral lists this ribosomal RNA (305 nucleotides) under uncultured bacterium. Its description in RNAcentral is "bacterial SSU rRNA". It matches the Rfam family "Bacterial small subunit ribosomal RNA", at positions 335 to 639 of the family's 1533-position model. The record is from RNAcentral.